Molecule: non-coding RNA, 72 nt
Organism: Phrynosoma platyrhinos (Desert horned lizard)
Lineage: Eukaryota; Metazoa; Chordata; Lepidosauria; Squamata; Phrynosomatidae
Source: the annotation of a GenBank genome assembly
GGCAGCAUGGUAUAGUGGUUAGAAUGUUGGACCAUGGCUCUGGAAACCAGGGUUCGAUUUCCAGCUCAGCCA